AGUGAACGCUGGCGGUAGGCCUAACACAUGCAAGUCGAACGGCAGCACAGUAAGUGCUUGCUCUUACGGGUGGCGAGUGGCGGACGGGUGAGGAAUACAUCGGAAUCUACUUUUUCGUGGGGGAUCACGUAGGGAAACUUACGCUAAUACCGCAUACGACGUACGGGUGAAAGCAGGGGAACUUCGGACCUUGCGGGAGUGAAUGAGCGGAUGUCGGAUUAGCUAGUUGGCGGGGUAAAGGCCCACCAAGGCGAGGAUCCGUAGCUGGUCUGAGAGGAUGAUCAGCAACACUGGAACGUGAACACGGUCCAGGCUCCUACGGGAGGCAGCAGUGGGGAAUGUUGGACAAUGGGCGCAAGCCUUAUCCAGCCAGACCGCGUGGGUGGAGACGGCCUUCGGGUUGUAAAGCCCUUUUGUUGGGAAAGAAAAGCAGCAGGUUAAUACCCCGCUGUUCUGACGGUACCCAAAGAAUAAGCACCGGCUAACUUCGUG
RNAcentral lists this ribosomal RNA (492 nucleotides) under uncultured bacterium. Its description in RNAcentral is "partial 16S ribosomal RNA". It matches the Rfam family "Bacterial small subunit ribosomal RNA", at positions 29 to 507 of the family's 1533-position model. The record is from RNAcentral.